GCAAGUCGAGCGGUAGCACAGAGGAACUUGUUUCUUGGGUGACGAGCGGCGGACGGGUGAGUAACGCGUAGGAAUCUACCUAGUAGAGGGGGACAACAUGUGGAAACGCAUGCUAAUACCGCAUACGCCCUAAGGGGGAAAGGAGGGGACUCUUCGGAGCCUUCCGCUAUUAGAUGAGCCUGCGUAAGAUUAGCUAGUUGGUAGGGUAAAGGCCUACCAAGGCGACGAUCUUUAACUGGUCUGAGAGGAUGGCC
RNAcentral lists this ribosomal RNA (254 nucleotides) under uncultured bacterium. Its description in RNAcentral is "partial 16S ribosomal RNA". It matches the Rfam family "Bacterial small subunit ribosomal RNA", at positions 57 to 305 of the family's 1533-position model. The record is from RNAcentral.